This 275-nucleotide ribosomal RNA is filed under the name Patiria miniata (bat star). Its description in RNAcentral is "partial 28S ribosomal RNA". It matches the Rfam family "Eukaryotic large subunit ribosomal RNA", at positions 86 to 343 of the family's 3401-position model. Lineage: Eukaryota; Metazoa; Echinodermata; Asteroidea; Valvatida; Asterinidae. The record is from RNAcentral.
GCGGCGAGCGAAGCGGGAAGAGCCCAGCGCCGAAUCCCCGGGCCCCACGCGGGCCCGCGGGAACUGUGGCGUAAGGAAGUCCGAGCCUGCGGCCGCGUCGGCGCCGAGGUCCUUCUGAUCGAGGCCCCACACGUCCCAGGGCGGGUGUCAGGCCCCUGCGGGCGCCGGCCGGUCGCGGACCAGGGCUUCCGGGAGUCGGGUUGUUUUGUAGCGCAGCCCAAAGGCGGGUGGUAAACUCCAUCCAAGGCUAAAUACCUGCACGAGACCGAUAGAGC